UACGUAGGGUGCAAGCGUUGUCCGGAAUUAUUGGGCGUAAAGAGCUCGUAGGCGGUUCGUCGCGUCGGCUGUGAAAACCCGGAGCUCAACUCCGGGCCUGCAGUCGAUACGGGCGGACUUGAGUGUUGCAGGGGAGACUGGAAUUCCUGGUGUAGAGGUGAAAUGCGCAGAUAUCAGGAGGAACACCGGUGGCGAAGGCGGGUCUCUGGGCCAUUACUGACGCUGAGGAGCGAAAGCGUGGGGAGCGAACAGG
Molecule: ribosomal RNA, 253 nt
Filed under: uncultured bacterium
Lineage: Bacteria
Description: partial 16S ribosomal RNA
Rfam family: Bacterial small subunit ribosomal RNA
Source: RNAcentral